GACGAACCGUGCAAACGUUGUUCGGAUUGACUGGGCGUAAAGGGCGCGUAGGCGGUUCGUACAGUCAGACGUGAAAUUCCUGGGCUCAACCUGGGGCUGCGUUUGAUACGUGCGGACUUGAGUGCGGAAGAGGGUCGUGGAAUUCCCAGUGUAGAGGUGAAAUUCGUAGAUAUUCGGAAGAACACCAGUGGCGAAGGCGACUUACUGGACACAUAUUGACGCUGAGGUGCGAAAGCGUGGGGAGCAAACAGG
Molecule: ribosomal RNA, 252 nt
Filed under: uncultured bacterium
Lineage: Bacteria
Description: partial 16S ribosomal RNA
Rfam family: Bacterial small subunit ribosomal RNA
Source: RNAcentral